UUUCAGUUCCUAUCUGGAACUUUCAUCAGGAUCAAACAUAUAUGUUUGAUCCUGAUGAAAGUUCCAGAUAGGAACU
Molecule: non-coding RNA, 76 nt
Organism: Pelobates cultripes (western spadefoot toad)
Lineage: Eukaryota; Metazoa; Chordata; Amphibia; Anura; Pelobatidae
Source: the annotation of a GenBank genome assembly